Molecule: ribosomal RNA, 376 nt
Filed under: uncultured bacterium
Lineage: Bacteria
Description: bacterial SSU rRNA
Rfam family: Bacterial small subunit ribosomal RNA
Source: RNAcentral
GACAGAGGGUGCAAACGUUGUUCGGAAUUACUGGGCGUAAAGCGUGUGUAGGCGGCCAUAUAAGUCGGAUGUGAAAGCCCUGGGCUCAACCCAGGAAGUGCACUCGAUACUGUGUGGCUCGAGUACUGGAGAGGUUGGUGGAAUUCUCGGUGUAGAGGUGAAAUUCGUAGAUAUCGAGAGGAACACCGGUGGCGAAGGCGGCCAACUGGACAGAUACUGACGCUGAGACACGAAAGCGUGGGGAGCAAACAGGAUUAGAUACCCUGGUAGUCCACGCCGUAAACGAUGGGUGCUAGGUGUCACGGGCUUUGACUCCUGUGGUGCCGUAGCAAACGCAUUAAGCACCCCGCCUGGGAAGUACGGCCGCAAGGCUAAA